GAUGUAUUUGGCACACAAAAUUAGAUGACAGACAGAGACACUCUCUAUUAGCUACAUGGAAAAGUAACUGAAUAACACAUCUUUCACAUUCUGCCUAACAUCUCCUUUUGUAAGUCAUAUAGACAAAAUAAAGGUAAUAAUGUCUUAUGAUAACCAAAACAGUCCUGAGCUAGAUCAAGCUUUGAUCUCUGUAAACCAAACUAUCACUUUAAUUAAAUAAUUUUUUUUCCCACUAUUAAAAAUAUUUUAUCAUUAGCUAGCUCCACACUGGAGAGCUGCUUUAUUUCAGAAAAUAAAGUUGUAAUUCUAACUGAAAGCGACACUGACUCUGGUUUUUCAUGUUUAAUACCGUAAAGCUGCUUGAAUUAAGGCUAUCUAUUGCAUAAAGUACUAUAUAAAUAAACCCGAUGUGACCGGACUUUACUGGAGUAACGUUACGUUAUUGAAAAGCAGAGCUCAUGCAAACAUCCACAUCGUUGUAAUCGGAUGCAUUUUUAACUGCUGCUUUCACACUGCUGCCAGUUUUUGUUGUUUUUAUUUCAUUACUGAGAGGAAAGCGCGCAAUAUAUAUUUACAUAUUCAUCCAAACGCCGCUCAAGUUCGGACGCAUUUUCUCUGAAGCGCUAUGUCUGUCUUCUUCUCUUGAAUUGCAUCCAGGAGAGCUGAAUUACAGUCUUGCACUACAGCGCCACUCUGGUCAAACCGCAGUAUUGCAGGCUCUUACAUUAGGUCACAUGAGAUCAAACGAUUACUCGACAACAAAAAUGUUUGUCGACAAUUUUUUAUUGUCGACGUUGUCGAAUAUCAUUUAAGAGAUUAUUUGAGUUGGGAUUACCAAAAGUAAUGAGUAAAUAUCCCCCAGUUUAUUUUAACUCAAAUUUACUUGCUAUUUAAGUAUGUUUUAAUAAAAAAAUUUAGCAUUUAACUAACAAAUUAUGUUUUUCACAUAUCCUUAAAGUUUUUGGUACAUUUUAAAUGAAAAUAUUUGAGAAUGAUGCAAUGAAACCUGUUAGUUUUAAGAACCAAAAUUAUUACUCGUUUUCUAUCAAUUUCUUUUGUAUUUUGCAUCGACUUUUGUAAGUCGACUUUUGUUUGCAUCGACAAAUUGAGUAAGUUUCGCGGCUAUUUGUGAUCACAUGGACACAAGGAUCGCGCUGAGAGCUGAAUGACGGGAACGACUGCUGCUUACUAGUCUGAAGAAAAUGGCUAAAACCACCUCACGACUCGUUUAAAAUACUGCACUGUCUUCAACUUAAGCUUCAACUUAAAAAAGAAUAACAAAAGGCAGAAGGAUGUUGCUGAUCCACCAACUGGUGUUCAAGAGGAAUUAGCACAGGAAGUGCUGAAGAUUUACCAGCUGCAAAAAGAUGGCUCAGUCACUGAUGUAGGCAUUGUGAUUGAGGGCAUCACAGUCCUCAACAAGCUUCAUGAUCUUAGCAGAGCCUGCUGCUACCUUGUGGGAUUGACCUAUGCCUUGGACCUGCGAUACCUCAAGAACAUUAAAUACACUUUGGAGGUCUUCCAGAAACUUUUCUUGGAUCUGGAUCCACUGAAACUUUCUACAAAAAUUACUCGAUUGCCUAGAUUGUUAGUGA
Long non-coding RNA from Onychostoma macrolepis, 1595 nucleotides. RefSeq lists it as uncharacterized. The record is from RefSeq and is a predicted model, not a curated record. The transcript is spliced from 3 exons. Lineage: Eukaryota; Metazoa; Chordata; Actinopteri; Cypriniformes; Cyprinidae.